AUUAUAUAUCAAUAUACUAAAUAAAUAAAUGAUUGGGAAUACGUUAAAGUAAUAAAAAGUCAAGAGAAUUUCAGAACGCAAUUUGGUUCCGAACAAUAUCUAUCACGCUUUGUGCAUGCAGACUCCACGCGGCCUUCACGUGAUUUUACUAUUUUUAGAAUAAUUGCAUAGUAACCAAAUGCACUAGAUUCAACCUUUACUAAUUAUGCAUUAUUUUUGACCUGGUCUUGAUUAAUGUCCUAUAAUAAGAACCCAUGCAGCUUUCACCUGAUUCUCUAUUUAUAGAAAAAUGUCAGAGUAACCUGUCCAUAUGAACUUGAUUGAUUCUUAUCAUGUUAUUUAUAAGGAGCGCCUAAAUAAAUAUCUUAUUAACAG
Molecule: long non-coding RNA, 375 nt
Filed under: Mytilus galloprovincialis (Mediterranean mussel)
Lineage: Eukaryota; Metazoa; Mollusca; Bivalvia; Mytilida; Mytilidae
Source: RNAcentral